This 107-nucleotide small nuclear RNA is filed under the name Dasypus novemcinctus (nine-banded armadillo). Lineage: Eukaryota; Metazoa; Chordata; Mammalia; Cingulata; Dasypodidae. The record is from RNAcentral.
GUGCUCGCUUUGGCAGCACAUAUACUAAAAUUGGAAUGAUACAGAGAAGAUUAUCAUGACCCCUGGGCAAGGGUGACAUGCAAAUUCAUGAAGCAUUCCAUAUUUUU